AUGAAGUUGGAGUUGCUAGUAAUCGCGGAUCAGCAUGUCGCGGUGAAUACGUUCCCGGGCCUUGUACACACCGCCCGUCACACCAUGGGAGUUGGGAGCGCCCGAAGCCGGUGAGGUAACCGAGAGGAGCCAGCCGUCGAAGGUGAGACCAAUGACUGGGGUGAAGUCGUAACAAGGUAGC
Molecule: ribosomal RNA, 181 nt
Filed under: uncultured bacterium
Lineage: Bacteria
Description: partial 16S ribosomal RNA
Rfam family: Bacterial small subunit ribosomal RNA
Source: RNAcentral